RNAcentral lists this ribosomal RNA (875 nucleotides) under uncultured archaeon. RNAcentral's name for it is "bacterial SSU rRNA". It matches the Rfam family "Archaeal small subunit ribosomal RNA", at positions 22 to 903 of the family's 1478-position model. The record is from RNAcentral.
GGCUACUGCUAUUGGGAUUCGACUAAGCCAUGCGAGUCUAUGGACUUCGGUCCAUGGCGGACGGCUCAGUAACACGUGGCUAACCUACCCUCAGGUGGGGCAUAACCUCGGGAAACUGAGGAUAAUACCCCAUAGGAAAAGAGGUUUGGAAUAAUCCUUUUCUGAAAGGAUAUCCGCCUGAGGAUGGGGCUGCGUCCGAUUAGGUAGUUGGUGGGGUAAUGGCCCACCAAGCCUACGAUCGGUACGGGCCUUGAGAGAGGGAGCCCGGAGAUGGGGACUGAGACACGGCCCCAGGCCCUACGGGGCGCAGCAGGCGCGAAACCUCCACAAUGCACGAAAGUGCGAUGGGGGAAUCCCAAGUGCCUAUGCACAGCAUAGGCUUUUCCCAAGUCUAAACAACUUGGGGAAUAAGGGCUGGGCAAGUCCGGUGCCAGCAGCCGCGGUAACACCGGCGGCCCGAGUGGUGGCCACUCUUAUUGGGCCUAAAGCGUCCGUAGCCGGUUCAGUAAGUCUCUGUUUAAAUCCUACGGCUUAACCGUAGGGCUGGCAGAGAUACUGCUGGACUUGGGACCGGGAGAGGAAGAGGGCACUUCGGGGGUAGCGGUGAAAUGCGUUGAUCCCUGAGGGACCACCUAUGGCGAAGGCACUCUUCUGGAACGGGUCCGACGGUGAGGGACGAAAGCCAGGGGAGCGAACCGGAUUAGAUACCCGGGUAGUCCUGGCCGUAAACUUUGCGAACUAGGUGUCAUCUGGACCUCGGGUCCAGGUGGUGCCGAAGGGAAGCCAUUAAGUUCGCCGCCUGGGGAGUACGGUCGCAAGACUGAAACUUAAAGGAAUUGGCAGGGGAGCACCACAACGGGUGGAGCCUGCGGUUU